GAUGCCAGUGGCCAUGCUGUGAGGUCACUGAGGAAGCCUCUGGAGGAGGCAGCCCACACGAGGAGGAACGAGGCCUCCCACCAACAGCCACGUGGGCACACCAUCUUGGAUGUGGUUCCUCUAGCCUCAGUCAAGCCUUCAGAUGCCUGCAACCCCUGCCAGCAUCCUCACUGCAACUUGAUGAGUGAUCACCCAGCUAAGCCACUGCUGGAUUUGUAACCCACAGAAACUGGGAGGGCAUCGCAUGGCCUCGACGGGGAUUACCCAUAGGAGAGAUGAGUUUUGCUGAGAACGCCUGAGUGAGCAUGGAGCAGAGCUCCGUGAGCACCUGCACCCAGCUGGGAGAAACCAGGAGCUCAUGAAGUGUCUGAGACAUUGGGUUAAAGCACACACAUUUAAAGAGACGAGGAAAAGAAAAGAGACGCAGCGUUCUCGUUCUCCUUCUCAGGAUUACGAAAGAGGCGACUGGGUUGGCACCCUAGGGAGGUUCCCACAUGCACUGCAGUGCCUGAGGCAGGCCAGUCUCACAGGAGCCUCUUAGGGAUCAACGAAAUGUGGUCUGCCUGUACUGUGGCAGAUUACUAGGACAUAAAAGGAAUGAAGUACUGAUCCAUGCUACAAUGUGGAUGAACCUUGGUAACACUGUGCUGAGCGAAAGCAGCCAAUCACAAAAGGCCACAUAUCGUAUGAUCCAAUUAUACAAAAUGUCCAGAACAGGGAAACCCAGGAAAGAAAGCAGAGAGGUGGGUGCCAGGAGCUGGGGGAGGCAGGAACAGAGAGUGACUGCUAAUUGG
Molecule: long non-coding RNA, 794 nt
Filed under: Homo sapiens (human)
Lineage: Eukaryota; Metazoa; Chordata; Mammalia; Primates; Hominidae
Description: HSALNT0371180
Source: RNAcentral